RNAcentral lists this ribosomal RNA (419 nucleotides) under uncultured bacterium. Its description in RNAcentral is "bacterial SSU rRNA". It matches the Rfam family "Bacterial small subunit ribosomal RNA", at positions 64 to 507 of the family's 1533-position model. The record is from RNAcentral.
GGACGCUCACAAGGGUUUCGGCCGCAAGGGAGUGGCGGACGGGUGAGUAGCGCGUGGGAACCUGCCCCUUUGUGGGGGAUAACCGAGGGAAACUUCGGCUAAUACCGCAUGCGCCCCCGGAGUUGAUCCGGGGGGAAAGAUUUAUCGCAGAGGGAGGGGCCCGCGUCGGAUUAGGUAGUUGGUGGGGUAACGGCCUACCAAGCCUUUGAUCCGUAGCUGGUCUGAGAGGAUGAUCAGCCACACUGGGACUGAGACACGGCCCAGACUCCUACGGGAGGCAGCAGUGGGGAAUAUUGGACAAUGGGCGCAAGCCUGAUCCAGCAAUGCCGCGUGAGUGAUGAAGGCCUUAGGGUUGUAAAGCUCUUUCGCCCGCGACGAUGAUGACGGUAGCGGGAGAAGAAGCCCCGGCUAACCUCGUG